Molecule: RNase P RNA, 409 nt
Filed under: Rhodospirillaceae bacterium
Lineage: Bacteria; Pseudomonadati; Pseudomonadota; Alphaproteobacteria; Rhodospirillales; Rhodospirillaceae
Description: RNase P RNA component class A
Rfam family: Bacterial RNase P class A
About the family: Ribonuclease P (RNase P) is a ubiquitous endoribonuclease, found in archaea, bacteria and eukarya as well as chloroplasts and mitochondria. Its best characterised activity is the generation of mature 5'-ends of tRNAs by cleaving the 5'-leader elements of precursor-tRNAs. Cellular RNase Ps are ribonucleoproteins.
Source: RNAcentral
CCAGAUGGUUGGAUGACCGCUGGUCCGGUGCUUGCGCCGGGCUGGAGGAAAGUCCGGGCUCCAUGGAAGCAAGGUGCCGGGUAACGCCCGGCGGGGGCGACCCCAGGGAAAGUGCCACAGAAAACAAACCGCUAAGGGCUGUCGGCCUCGGCCGGCGCCCCAGUAAGGGUGAAAUGGUGCGGUAAGAGCGCACCGCGCCGCCGGUAACGGUGGCGGCAGGGUAAACCCCACCUGGAGCAAGACCAAAUAGGGACGGCCGUCCGGGUGAUUCGUCACGCCGGAAGAUGGGUUUCCACAUCGUCGUCCGGGUCGGUCGCGCGAGGCGCACGGUAACGUGCGUCCCAGAGGAAUGGUCAUCCAACCCCGGCAACGGGGCGGACAAAACCCGGCUUACAGACCAUCUGGCGCC